UCUCCUGGACACAGACUUUUUUGGCAGC
This 28-nucleotide non-coding RNA is filed under the name Mus musculus (house mouse). The record is from RNAcentral. Lineage: Eukaryota; Metazoa; Chordata; Mammalia; Rodentia; Muridae.